RNAcentral lists this long non-coding RNA (1431 nucleotides) under Olea europaea subsp. europaea. Lineage: Eukaryota; Viridiplantae; Streptophyta; Magnoliopsida; Lamiales; Oleaceae. The record is from RNAcentral.
UUAUAGGUUACAUUUUAUUUCAUUAGUCACAAUUAAAAAAAAUUAUGGUUCACAAUUUAUCUAUCGAUCACAUAUUUACAAAUUUUGCUUGUCACAUUAACUUUUAGUCACAUAUUAUCGAUUUUUAAAGUCACAGUUUAUCCCACCCCAUCCCCACCACAACCACCGCCAACAACAAUAACAAAAAGGACCACCACUAUAUAACCAUCGCCUGUAUCACACCACUACCCACAAAUCCAUCCGCGUCACAACACCACCACAACCACCGACAACAACAACAACAACAACAAAAAUAUAAAAAAAAAUCACCACCACACAAAUGACGCUUGCACCAUACAACCACACAAUGGCCACUUGCACAUCAAAUAACCACCACCCAUAGAUUCACCCCCGACACAGCACUAUCAUAAUCACCGCCAACAACAACAACGACAAAAUGACCACCACCAUGCAAUUGCCGCCUACACCAUACAACAACACAACUACCGUCUGUACCACACCACCACACACAGAUCCAUACUCAACACACCAUCAUAAUCACCGCAAACAACAACAACAAAACAACCAUCACCACACAAUCGUCGCCUAUACCGCACCACCGCACAACCAUAACCUGCACAUCUAGGGACGUCAAACUGAUCGAGCAGCUCUUCGCUCGACUGGCGGGCAGCUCGGGCUCGUUAUUUAACAAGCCCGAGCAUGAGUUAAAUAAGGACAGGAUCCAACGAGGGCAAAAGUCGUGGACUCGUAAAAAAUGUGAAGAAAAAGUUUGAAAAUUUUCAAAAAAAAAUAAUUUCGAGCUCGUGGGUAUAAGGGCCGAGCCAAGCAGGCUCGACCCAUUUCCACGUCUAUGCACAUUAGAUAACCACCCAUAGAUCAGAAUACCUACACCAUCACCGCCUUAUCAAAAAUUGAAAUCCCAUACAUGGGCUAACCCAUUGGCUUCAACUUGGCAAAAACAUGAAUCGGGCACAAAGGCCAAACCAUGGAUCGAGCAUAGAGGCACCAAUGCUGGAGUUACGCAAAGCAACGACUGCUCACAACGACAAGCUCUGCUGUAGUAUUCGACGAUGGCGGCCAUUGUGACAGAGAGGAUAGAGAGACAGAGAGAGAGGAUGGAAAGAAGAGGGAGUAGGGGCGAUCGGAGCUCCUUGAUCACAUCAACAAUCUCCGGUGUAGUGUCCAACCACAGCUGCCAUGUGUGACGAGGAGGAUAGAAAGACAGAGAGAGAAAGGAUGGGAAGAAGAGGGGAAGAAGAAGGAGAAGAGGCGGCACUCGCUAGUCACAACGACGAUCUCCAGUGUAGUCUACGACUAUAGUGGCUAUGUGUGACGAGGAGUAUACAGAGACAGAGGGAGAGGGAGAGGGAGAAAAUAAUUAGGAUUUUUAAUUGGGUGGAUGAGAAAGGGUUACAGUAUAUAGUGAAAAAU